This 123-nucleotide ribosomal RNA is filed under the name Streptococcus pneumoniae SP3-BS71. RNAcentral also lists the same sequence under 7 other names. Lineage: Bacteria; Bacillati; Bacillota; Bacilli; Lactobacillales; Streptococcaceae. The record is from RNAcentral.
CUCAGAGUUAAGUGACGAUAGCCUAGGAGAUACACCUGUACCCAUGCCGAACACAGAAGUUAAGCCCUAGAACGCCGGAAGUAGUUGGGGGUUGCCCCCUGUGAGAUAGGGAAGUCGCUUAGC